This 324-nucleotide ribosomal RNA is filed under the name uncultured bacterium. RNAcentral's name for it is "bacterial SSU rRNA". It matches the Rfam family "Bacterial small subunit ribosomal RNA", at positions 28 to 346 of the family's 1533-position model. The record is from RNAcentral.
GACGAACGCUGGCGGCGUGCUUAACACAUGCAAGUGGAGCGACGAACCGGGGGCUUGCCCCGGGGCAGAGCCGCGAACGGGUGAGUAACACGUGGGUAACCCACCCCGAUGACCGGGACAACCCGAGGAAACUCGGGCUAAUACCGGAUGUGCUCCUUGACCUCGAGGUCAAGGCGUAAAGAUAGCUUCGGCCCUCGCAUCGGGGACGGCCCGCGGCCCAUUAGCUUGUUGGUGGGGUAACGCCUACCAAGGCGACGAUGGUAGCUGGUCUGAGAGGACGAUCAGCCACACUGGGACUGAGACACGGCCCAGACUCCUACGGGA